UCCCGUGUGGCUCAGUUGGUAGAGCAUGGUGUUUGCAACGCCAGGGUUGUGGGUUUGAUUCCCACGGGAG
Molecule: non-coding RNA, 70 nt
Organism: Salmo salar (Atlantic salmon)
Lineage: Eukaryota; Metazoa; Chordata; Actinopteri; Salmoniformes; Salmonidae
Source: Rfam